This 460-nucleotide ribosomal RNA is filed under the name uncultured bacterium. Its description in RNAcentral is "partial 16S ribosomal RNA". It matches the Rfam family "Bacterial small subunit ribosomal RNA", at positions 338 to 795 of the family's 1533-position model. The record is from RNAcentral.
CCUACGUGAGGCUGCAGUGAGGAAUAUUGGUCAAUGGGCGAGAGCCUGAACCAGCCAAGUCGCGUGAGGGAAGACGGUCCUAUGGAUUGUAAACCUCUUUUGUCGGGGAGCAAAAAGGCCUCGUGAGGCCACAAGUUAGAGUACCCGAAGAAAAAGCAUCGGCUAACUCCGUGCCAGCAGCCGCGGUAAUACGGAGGAUGCGAGCGUUCUCCGGAUUUAUGGGGUUUAAAGGGUGCGUAGUCGGACUGGAAAGUCAGCGUUAAAAUCGGGGGGGUAAACCUCUUUCCGCCGUUGAAACUGGCAGUCUUGAGUGUGCGAGAGGUAGGCGGAAUGCGUGGUGUAGCGGUGAAAUGCAUAGAUAUCACGCAGAACUCCGAUUGCGAAGGCAGCAUACCGGCGCCCGACUGACGCUGAGGCACGAAAGCGUGGGUAUCGAACAGGAUUAGAUACCCCAGUAGUC